Myotis davidii is the source of this 1156-nucleotide long non-coding RNA. RefSeq lists it as uncharacterized. Lineage: Eukaryota; Metazoa; Chordata; Mammalia; Chiroptera; Vespertilionidae. The record is from RefSeq and is a predicted model, not a curated record. The transcript is spliced from 2 exons.
UGGAAAUGCCAGCGGGGAAUGGGAGAGGGAUUACCCGAGGCCAGGCCGCUCAGGGAUGCGGCGCUGGGGGUUUCCACCAGCCUCAGAAACCCAGGCAGGUGUGGUCCCGGUGCCCCGCCUGGGGAUGACUCAGCGGGAAGAGAGCCGCUGGCUUCCAGGACCAACCCUUUCCUGCUCCCGGGGGCAUUCCCAGGGCGUCCACACAGCCGGCAGCCUCCCCCUUCGGGCGGAUGACCUGAGGUUGGCUCAGGCGGUUCGGUGCAGGUGGGGAGCCUGGCCGUGCUGACAGGGUGCCCCCGGGGUGGACAGGCUCUCUUUCCUGCCUCCCCCUUGCCCUGGCAUUCCAUGGAGCUGCGGUUGCCAUGUGAUUGGCCGGGGCUCUCCCAGGGCGGUACCUGCUUGCUCCCUGCCUGCGCUUCCUAAUUGCUUCACUGUCAGGGGUGAGGGGAGGCUGCCUUGAAAAGCACACAGCAGCCACCACCCCACCGCAAACAGAACCCCGCCCUCGAGCAACCAGGUAGUGCCUGCAUACACCCUGAAAGGGCGCGGGACCUCGAUACUGUAUUCGCCCGCAUCGAGACACGCCGGGGUUUUUCCUCUGCUUCGAAGCCUUGCCAGUUCACAGCUGGUCAGCAUUUCCCUUUAGGAAACUCUCAAGAUUUCCUGAGUAAAGGGAACCAGGGGAGAAGGGGAAAUAGAGAAAUCCCCUUUUAAGAAACUCCCUUGCUUCAUGCAAUCGCUCAACCACAACUUCCCUCAGGGGCCAGCCUCCCCAGCCCAGGACAGCCGCUGCCAGGGAUGCCCGCUUUGCAGAGUCUGAUCUCCAUAGCAACCCCAAGGCACAUUCUCACCUGCUGGGAGGGAGUCGCACCUGGGGCCUGGAAGCUCCCCUGGAGAUGCAGGUUUCCAUGGGAAGAUGAACAGUCUUGUUGCAGAAGCCAGAAUCGCCAGCCCUUUGAAGACCCCCAGCCCUUUGCACACCCGCAGGCCUCGCAAAUACCUGUAAACUGCCCACUUGGCAUCCCUCCCCCAUGGAAUCUUUGUGCUUCUACCCAAUAGAAGCAGCAGCUGACGAUGGGGGGCAGAGCAGAUGUCUGUGGCUGACCUGCUGCGCCCCCACGCUGCCAGCAGGAUUAGAAUCAACGCUCAGGUGAUU